RNAcentral lists this ribosomal RNA (465 nucleotides) under uncultured Nitrosospira sp. RNAcentral describes it as "bacterial SSU rRNA". It matches the Rfam family "Bacterial small subunit ribosomal RNA", at positions 198 to 644 of the family's 1533-position model. Lineage: Bacteria; Pseudomonadati; Pseudomonadota; Betaproteobacteria; Nitrosomonadales; Nitrosomonadaceae. The record is from RNAcentral.
GGAGGAAAGCAGGGGAUCGCAAGACCUUGCGCUUUUGGAGCGGCCGAUGUCUGAUUAGCUAGUUGGUGAGGUAAAGGCUUACCAAGGCUUCGAUCAGUAGCUGGUCUGAGAGGACGACCAGCCACACUGGGACUGAGACACGGCCCAGACUCCUACGGGAGGCAGCAGUGGGGAAUUUUGGACAAUGGGGGCAACCCUGAUCCAGCCAUGCCGCGUGAGUGAAGAAGGCCUUCGGGUUGUAAAGCUCUUUCAGCCGGAACGAAAAGGUUACGGUUAAUACCCGUGACUAAUGACGGUACCGGAAGAAGAAGCACCGGCUAACUACGUGCCAGCAGCCGCGGUAAUACGUAGGGUGCGAGCGUUAAUCGGAAUUACUGGGCGUAAAGCGUGCGCAGGCGGUUUUGUAAGUCAGAUGUGAAAUCCCCGGGCUUAACCUGGGAACUGCGUUUGAAACUACAAGGCUAG